This 254-nucleotide ribosomal RNA is filed under the name uncultured bacterium. RNAcentral's name for it is "partial 16S ribosomal RNA". It matches the Rfam family "Bacterial small subunit ribosomal RNA", at positions 524 to 776 of the family's 1533-position model. The record is from RNAcentral.
UACGGAGGGUGCGAGCGUUGUCCGGAAUCAUUGGGCGUAAAGGGCGCGUAGGUGGCCCGGUCAGUUCGUGGUGAAAGCGCGGGGCUCAACCCUGCGUCGGCCAUGAAUACUGCCGCGGCUGGAGCACUGUAGAGGCAGGCGGAAUUCCGGGUGUAGCGGUGGAAUGCGUAGAGAUGUGGAGGAACACCAGUGGCGAAGGCGGCUUUCUGGUCUGUAACUGACGCUGAGGCGCGAAAGCGUGGGGAGCAAACAGG